GGGAGCGACUUGGCUUCGACAGGAGUAAGUCUGCUUAGAUGGCAUGUCGCUUUGGACAAAGCGUAAAAAGUCCAAAUUAAAAUUAAACGCAAAUAACGUUAAAUUCGCUCCUGCUUACGCUAAAGCUGCGUAAGUUCAGUUGAGCCUGAAAUUUAAGUCAUACUAUCUAGCUUAAUUUUCGGUCAUUUUUGAUAGUGUAGCCUUGCGUUUGACAAGCGUUGAGGUGAAAUAAAGUCUUAGCCUUGCUUUUGAGUUUUGGAAGAUGAGCGAAGUAGGGUGAAGUAGUCAUCUUUGCUAAACAUGUAGAAGUCUUUGUGGGGUUAUUUUUGGACAGGGGUUCGAUUCCCCUCGCUUCCACCA
Molecule: transfer-messenger RNA, 360 nt
Filed under: Campylobacter coli
Lineage: Bacteria; Pseudomonadati; Campylobacterota; Epsilonproteobacteria; Campylobacterales; Campylobacteraceae
Also listed under: 1 other name
Rfam family: transfer-messenger RNA
About the family: Bacterial tmRNA, also known as 10Sa RNA or SsrA, is named for its dual tRNA and mRNA-like properties. Its role is to liberate the mRNA from a stalled ribosome.
Source: RNAcentral